RNAcentral lists this ribosomal RNA (464 nucleotides) under Vreelandella stevensii. RNAcentral describes it as "partial 16S ribosomal RNA". It matches the Rfam family "Bacterial small subunit ribosomal RNA", at positions 339 to 795 of the family's 1533-position model. The record is from RNAcentral. Lineage: Bacteria; Pseudomonadati; Pseudomonadota; Gammaproteobacteria; Oceanospirillales; Halomonadaceae.
CUACGGGGCGCUGCAGUGGGGAAUAUUGGACAAUGGGCGAAAGCCUGAUCCAGCCAUGCCGCGUGUGUGAAGAAGGCCUUCGGGUUGUAAAGCACUUUCAGUGGGGAAGAAAGCCUUGGGGCUAAUACCCUCGAGGAAGGACAUCACCCACAGAAGAAGCACCGGCUAACUCCGUGCCAGCAGCCGCGGUAAUACGGAGGGUGCGAGCGUUAAUCGGAAUUACUGGGCGUAAAGCGCGCGUAGGCGGUCUGAUAAGCCGGUUGUGAAAGCCCCGGGCUCAACCUGGGAACGGCAUCCGGAACUGUCAGGCUAGAGUGCAGGAGAGGAAGGUAGAAUUCCCGGUGUAGCGGUGAAAUGCGUAGAGAUCGGGAGGAAUACCAGUGGCGAAGGCGGCCUUCUGGACUGACACUGACGCUGAGGUGCGAAAGCGUGGGUAGCAAACAGGAUUAGAUACCCCAGUAGUC